CCCUCAAUUACUUGAUUAAGUCUCAUGUUGCCACUGAUCACAGAAAGUCUAUAAUUUUUAAAGCAUAUGAUAGCAUUUUAUGAGCAAACCAGAAAAUGACAAAGUUUUUGUCAACUAUAAAAAAUGAAAAGUUUGUCAGUAUUUGGCUUUGUUGCAUCAGUUAAACAUUGAGAAGAUUGAGAUGGCUUUUAUUACAAACCAAACCGGUUACUUGCAAAUAAGGCACACAACUUUAUUAGUUUUAAUUCAGUUUUCUUUUAGUCAUCUAGCUUUCAAUUUUCGGUAUUAUUUUGGAGUAUGUUUUCAAUAUUAAAAGAUUAAGAA
Molecule: non-coding RNA, 324 nt
Organism: Paramuricea clavata
Lineage: Eukaryota; Metazoa; Cnidaria; Anthozoa; Malacalcyonacea; Plexauridae
Source: the annotation of a GenBank genome assembly